Molecule: ribosomal RNA, 506 nt
Filed under: uncultured bacterium
Lineage: Bacteria
Description: partial 16S ribosomal RNA
Rfam family: Bacterial small subunit ribosomal RNA
Source: RNAcentral
AGUGAACGCUGGCGGUAGGCCUAACACAUGCAAGUCGAACGGCAGCACAGGAGAGCUUGCUCUCUGGGUGGCGAGUGGCGGACGGGUGAGGAAUACAUCGGAAUCUACUUUUUCGUGGGGGAUAACGUAGGGAAACUUACGCUAAUACCGCAUACGACCUACGGGUGAAAGCAGGGGACCUUCGGGCCUUGCGCGAUUGAAUGAGCCGAUGUCGGAUUAGCUAGUUGGCGGGGUAAAGGCCCACCAAGGCGACGAUCCGUGGCUGGUCUGAGAGGAUGAUCAGCCACACUGGAACUGAGGCACGGUCCAGACUCCUACGGGAGGCAGCAGUGGGGAAUAUUGGACAAGGGGCGCAAGCCUGAUCCAGCCAUACCGCGUGGGUGAAGAAGGCCUUCGGGUUGUAAAGCCCUUUUGUUGGGAAAGAAAUCCAGCUGGCUAAUACCCGGUUGGGAUGACGGUACCCAAAGAAUAAGCACCGGCUAACUUCGUGCCAGCCGCCGCAGUAA